Molecule: unclassified non-coding RNA, 313 nt
Filed under: plant metagenome
Description: partial contains small subunit ribosomal RNA, internal transcribed spacer 1, and 5.8S ribosomal RNA
Source: RNAcentral
UUUCCGUAGGUGAACCUGCGGAAGGAUCAUUAUUGAAUGAACUUGGUAGUGGUUGUAGCUGGCUCUCUCGAGAGCAUGUGCACACCCGCCAUCUUUAUCUUUCCACCUGUGCACUUCUUGUAGACUUUGGGAUUUGAAACCUUAUCCGGGGCAACCCGGUCGGGAGGAGCUGCUGUAGCAAUACGGCUCUCCUUGACAAGUCUUCGAAGUCUAUGUUUUUCAUAUACCCCAUAGUAUGUAACAGAAUGUAUACAAAUGAGCCUUAGUGCUUAUAAAACUUAUACAACUUUCAACAACGGAUCUCUUGGCUCUC